AGCAGCCGCGGUAAUUCCAGCUCCAAUAGCGUAUAUUAAAGUUGUUGCAGUUAAAAAGCUCGUAGUUGAAUUUCGGGGUCAGUAGGUUGGUCGUGCCACUGGUAUGUACUGGUCUCACUGAUUCCUCCUUCCUGAUGAGCCGUAAUGCCAUUAAUUUGGUGUUGCGAGGAAUCUGGACUGUUACUUUGAAAAAUUGAGUGUUUAAAGCUAGGCUUAACGCUUGAAUACAUUAGCAUGGAAUAAUGGAAUAGGGCGUUACGAUCCUAUUUUGUUGGUUUCUAGGAUUGACGUAAUGAUUAAUAGGGAUAGUUGGGGGCAUUAGUAUUCAAUUGUCAGAGGUGAAAUUCUUGGAUUUAUUGAAGACUAACUACUGCGAAAGCAUUUGACCAAGGAUUGUUUUCAUUAAUCAAGAACGAAAGUUAGGGGAUCGAAGACGAUCAGAUACCGUGUAGUCUUAACCAUAAACUAUGCCGACUAGGGAUCGGAUGAUGUUAAUUUUAUGUACUCAUUCGGCGUACCC
Molecule: ribosomal RNA, 520 nt
Filed under: uncultured Glomeromycotina
Lineage: Eukaryota; Fungi; Glomeromycota
Description: SSU rRNA
Rfam family: Eukaryotic small subunit ribosomal RNA
Source: RNAcentral